UUCAUUCUCCGUUCAGUGAGGGUCUCAGGGAUGGGGAGGCCAAGCCGCUCUGUCUGCCGCUACUUUUGAUCAACGCGUGCGUGAUCUGUGCUUCAGCCAAAACAGAUUUUUCAUCUCUUCCAUACUCAAACCCUAGCCGCUUCACCCUCUCUCCCACACACAAGCAAACUCCAUCUGAAAGCCGAAAAAUACAAAGGUAAAUCCCUUCGAACUUUUCGAUUAUGAAGGAAUGCUUCAAGCGGUGCUGCCGCUGCCGCUUCGACCAAAAGGAAUGCUUCAGGCGGUGCUGCCGCUGCCGUUAUGAAGUUUGAGCGCUUCGCAGGUUGGGGAGGAGGACGACGACGAAUCCGCUCUGAGUCAGCUUGGCCUCCGCCGCAACACUAGCUAUACUUCUUCCACAGCUUCCACUGCUUCUUCUGCUGCUAAUGGGUGGGGGUUUUCUACCUGGGUUUCUUGCACAAGAGCUUCAUUUGCCCGCAUGACGGAGAUUCCGGCCUCAUCUCCUCCAAAAUUUGCCAGUACCCAAUGUGGGUCUGGUUUCUUUCUUAGAGGUUUCAACAUGGAAGCUUCUUCUACUGAUCAAAUGAGUCUCAUUAAGCAGCUGAGGGAGCGAACCAAUGCGCCGAUCAAAGACGUUAAGGCUACUCUCAUUGAUAGCAAUUGGGACAUUGAGGCUGCCCAGAAGGAAUUGAGGAGGAAAGGGAAGGUUUCGGCGUCGAAAAAGUCAUCUCGGAUGGCUGCCGAGGGCAUGCUGGCUUUGGCUCAGAAUGAGAACAAGCUGCUGUUAUUGAACUUUAACUUUGAGACUGACUUUGUUGCUCCAAAUGAUAUAUUUCAAUACUUAGUAUAUCACUAUGGAAGAACUAGAGCAAGUCCUCCACGAAUAAGGCUUAUGUGGUGAAUUUUAAUCUUUUUCAGAUCUUCGAGAGGAUAAACACUAUGUGGCUGAUCGCACAAGAUUGUUUCCUGCGACCACUGCUCAGCUUCACGUACAAAUGUGACUAGCGGGUCAAGUUCCAUAAGGAGGUGGAAGCAGAAGAAGAAUUGGCGUCACCCUUCAGUUUUUCAACCAAAAGGAGGCAACCUUGAUAAAUGAUUUACACAAGCUUCUCUGUUUUGUAUCUCUGAAAUUUGAGUUCUUUGACACAAAUAUCCUUAGGUGGACACAAAAUUUUGACCCCAACAUCCAAUUUAAUUAAUUCAACUUUGGUACUAUGAAUUGGGACCCGACAAUCCAUCAUAUGCUGCCAAGUUCUACGACUUUUGUGGGGCUGAGGAUCCUGAGGCGUCCAGCUGCACUACCAGUUUCCAUGUUUCUAUGAUGACGAUUGAUCCAUAUUUUCAGUUUUUAAACAAUAAGAUAAUGUAACCAUUCAGACUCCAGAGUGCUUUGUCAUUAAGCCGCGUGAAGGAUCGGACUAUUCAAGCUUCGCAAGUUAAUUCAAAGGCCUUAAUCACUAUAUAAGGUGAGAAAGGGAUCAUCGAUCUGAAAUGAGCUUUUUAUGUCAGGACGACACACCUAUUGGGGCAAUGUUGGGAUGUUUAGGUUUGGGUGGGGACGUGGACUUAUGGAAGAGGUGAAGUAGCUUAGCUCUCUGUCAUUAACUUUAUCUGUUCUAUGCAUCUCUACAAUCUUACAAUGCUCUUUUAUUAAAUUGCAAGAUGUUGGGACCGGUUACUAGAAUACGAGAUUUGGAACAAAAGUGGUUGACAAUGCAAGAGUCGAAACCAAGUGUGAAAUUCACAUUGAAAAUGACAGGAGAUGGUUGUGCAUGAUCUGUAGAAUCACAAUUAAAGGAUCUAUCUUGCAAGAGAACGGAGAAUUAGAUGGAGAUCUCAACCAUAGAAUACAAGCUG
Non-coding RNA from Malus domestica (apple), 1857 nucleotides. Lineage: Eukaryota; Viridiplantae; Streptophyta; Magnoliopsida; Rosales; Rosaceae. The record is from RefSeq and is a predicted model, not a curated record.